RNAcentral lists this ribosomal RNA (393 nucleotides) under uncultured bacterium. Its description in RNAcentral is "partial 16S ribosomal RNA". It matches the Rfam family "Bacterial small subunit ribosomal RNA", at positions 523 to 918 of the family's 1533-position model. The record is from RNAcentral.
AUACGGAGGAUCCAAGCGUUAUCCGGAUUUAUUGGGUUUAAAGGGUGCGUAGGCGGACUGGUAAGUCAGCUGUGAAAGUUUGCGGCUUAACCGUAAAAUUGCAGUUGAUACUGUCAGUCUUGAGUGUGCAUGAGGUGGGAGGAAUUUGUGGUGUAGCGGUGAAAUGCUUAGAUAUCACGAGGAACUCCAAUUGCGAAGGCAGCUCACUGGGGCAUAACUGACGCUGAUGCACGAAGGUGUGGGUAUCAAACAGGAUUAGAUACCCUGGUAGUCCACACAGUAAACUAUGAAUACUCGCUGUUUGCGAUAUACAGUAAGUGGCACAGCGAAAGCGUUAAGUAUUCCACCUGGGGAGUACGCCGGCAACGGUGAAACUCAAAUGAAUUGGCGGGG